UACGGAGGGUGCAAACGUUGCUCGGAAUCAUUGGGCGUAAAGCGCACGUAGGCGGCCUGUUAAGUCGGAUGUGAGAGCCCCGGGCUCAACCCGGGAAGUGCAUUCGAAACUGGCGGGCUUGAAUAUGGAAGAGGGUCGCGGAAUUCCCGGUGUAGAGGUGAAAUUCGUAGAUAUCGGGAGGAACACCAGUGGCGAAGGCGGCGACCUGGGCCAAUAUUGACGCUGAGGUGCGAAAGCGUGGGGAGCAAACAGG
This 253-nucleotide ribosomal RNA is filed under the name uncultured bacterium. Its description in RNAcentral is "partial 16S ribosomal RNA". It matches the Rfam family "Bacterial small subunit ribosomal RNA", at positions 524 to 776 of the family's 1533-position model. The record is from RNAcentral.